AGCUCCUUAGCCGAGGUGACAGCAUCCGAAGCACAAAGCAACAUCUUCCAUAGACACAUCUCCCAAGAGAUCUUCUGCACAAAGAUCUUACUUGAAUGAUUGAUAGGACGUUUGUCAUGAGUGUAAAUGUUAAGUCUUGUCACUAGUAGAGGCGGCUCUGCCAAUCAAUAAAUGUAUAACAGGCUAGGUGCGGCUGAUCA
This 200-nucleotide long non-coding RNA is filed under the name Olea europaea (common olive). Its description in RNAcentral is "long non-coding RNA (OEUR_LNC009689)". The record is from RNAcentral. Lineage: Eukaryota; Viridiplantae; Streptophyta; Magnoliopsida; Lamiales; Oleaceae.